Pangasianodon gigas (Mekong giant catfish) is the source of this 79-nucleotide non-coding RNA. Lineage: Eukaryota; Metazoa; Chordata; Actinopteri; Siluriformes; Pangasiidae. The record is from the annotation of a GenBank genome assembly.
GUGGUUAUAGCUUAGUGGUUAAGGCUUUGGGCUAUUGAUCGGCUCCUGAUGGUUGUGAGUUCAAAUCCCAGUGUUGCCA